This 208-nucleotide long non-coding RNA is filed under the name Sorghum bicolor (sorghum). RNAcentral's name for it is "long non-coding RNA (SBIC_LNC016395)". Lineage: Eukaryota; Viridiplantae; Streptophyta; Magnoliopsida; Poales; Poaceae. The record is from RNAcentral.
CUAACAAAAGAAAAUCACUACUAACAACUACGCCUACAUCAGACUAGGCGAGUCAUUGAGCUACUUGACACUUGAGACGGGAUAGCACCAACUAAUCAAAACGAUCACAAUACAAAAAAUCACUAGUGACAUGGGGAAGCAGCAAAUCUUCUUCUUCUUCUUCUUCUUCUUCUUCUUCUUCUUCUUCUCCUCCUUCACCUCCACCACC